GAGUUUGAUCCUGGCUCAGGACGAACGCUGGCGGCGUGCUUAACACAUGCAAGUCGAACGGAGUGCCUAUGAAGGAGAUUUCGGUCAACGGAAUAGGCUGCUUAGUGGCGGACGGGUGAGUAACGCGUGAGGAACCUGCCUUUCAGAGGGGGACAACAGUUGGAAACGACUGCUAAUACCGCAUAACACAUAGGUGUCGCAUGGCAUUUAUGUCAAAGAUUUAUCGCUGAAAGAUGGCCUCGCGUCUGAUUAGCUAGUUGGUGAGGUAACGGCUCACCAAGGCGACGAUCAGUAGCCGGACUGAGAGGUUGGCCGGCCACAUUGGGACUGAGAUACGGCCCAGACUCCUACGGGAGGCAGCAGUGGGGAAUAUUGGGCAAUGGGCGCAAGCCUGACCCAGCAACGCCGCGUGAAGGAAGAAGGCUUUCGGGUUGUAAACUUCUUUUGACAGGGAAGAGUAGAAGACGGUACCUGUCGAAUAAGCCACGGCUAACUACGUGCCAGCAGCCGCGGUAAUACGUAGGUGGCAAGCGUUGUCCGGAUUUACUGGGUGUAAAGGGCGUGUAGCCGGGUUGACAAGUCAGAUGUGAAAUCCUGCGGCUUAACCGCAGAACUGCAUUUGAAGCUGUUGAUCUUGAGUACUGGAGAGGCAGACGGAAUUCCUAGU
RNAcentral lists this ribosomal RNA (667 nucleotides) under uncultured bacterium. Its description in RNAcentral is "bacterial SSU rRNA". It matches the Rfam family "Bacterial small subunit ribosomal RNA", at positions 9 to 674 of the family's 1533-position model. The record is from RNAcentral.